AUCCCAUGAUGAGGACAUUUCUGCAAUAACUCUUUAAAUCUUUCCCGUGUUUCAUACAAGGAUUCCUCAUCUGCCUGUUGGAAUGAGGUAAUGUCGUUUCUGAGCUU
This is a non-coding RNA of Morus notabilis, 107 nucleotides long. NCBI's taxonomy places the organism in Eukaryota, Viridiplantae, Streptophyta, Magnoliopsida, Rosales, Moraceae. The record is from Rfam.